This 428-nucleotide ribosomal RNA is filed under the name uncultured Senegalimassilia sp. RNAcentral describes it as "bacterial SSU rRNA". It matches the Rfam family "Bacterial small subunit ribosomal RNA", at positions 958 to 1392 of the family's 1533-position model. The record is from RNAcentral. Lineage: Bacteria; Bacillati; Actinomycetota; Coriobacteriia; Coriobacteriales; Coriobacteriaceae.
AACGCGAAGAACCUUACCAGGGCUUAACAUGCAGGUGAGCCCCGAGAGAUCGGGGGGCCUAGCGGAGCCUGCGCAGGUGGUGCAUGGCUGUCGUCAGCUCGUGUCGUGAGAUGUUCGGUUAAGUCCGGCAACGAGCGCAACCCCCGUCGCGUGUUGCCAUCAUUCGGUUGGGCACUCGCGCGAGACUGCCGGCGCCAAGCCGGAGGAAGGUGGGGACGACGUCAAGUCAUCAUGCCCCUUACGCCCUGGGCCGCACACGUGCUACAAUGGCCGGCACAGAGGGUUGCCACCCCGCGAGGGGGAGCGGAUCCCGAAAGCCGGCCCCAGUUCGGAUCGGAGGCUGCAACCCGCCUCCGUGAAGCCGGAGUUGCUAGCAAUCGCGGAUCAGCACGCCGCGGUGAAUACGUUCCCGGGUCUUGUACACACCG